AGGAGAACCCCUUUCCUCCAAGCCACUUUUCGUCAGCAAGAGUGGUCUUGAACUUAUCUUUAAGUGACAGAGAUGAGAGGUGAAGCCCCAGCCGCUGCUGCCGUGUACUGCUGUUCGAUGCCAGUGUUUACAGCGCUGGGCAGCAGGCACAGAUGUUGUGGCAGCUAGACUGUGCCCGGGACAGCGCGAAGCCAGCUCCUGACUUUGCAUGGACAAACGAGUGCAGAUCUCAAAGCUGGCCCGACUUACAAAGCAGUAGGCUGGCGCUGGCGUUUGCAGUCAGUCAGGAGUGUAAAUUCUCAAGGCUGCCUAUCCUUUUUCUUCAGAGGUUUGUUUUUUUUUUUUUUUUCACCUCUGAUCUUUUCUCUUUGUUCACACUAAUUAUGACCCACGAACUUAAAGAAAAACAACAAACCCAAACCAAACACAACGCGCCACCCUCCCGGCGCGGGGGCGGCGGACAGCGUGCGGCAGUCCCUCCCCCUCCGCGGCCAUCGCUUCCCUCCCGCGGCCCCGGGCGCUCGGCAGGGCAGGGGCCGGACCCUCUCUGCCUGCCGGGGCGCGGACGGGGCUCCCCCCGCUCCUGCCACUACCCCAGCCUCCCUCGGCUCCCCACCGCCCCGCACACGCCCCGCCUCCCAGCGCGGCUCUCCCUGCCCGCCCCGCCGGUAGCAGGGCAGGGGCGGGGGCGGGGGCGGUGGAGCGGCGGCUCCUCCCCGGGGCGGAGGGACGCGUUCGCCGCCGCCUCCCGCCUGCCGCCGCCGUGGGGACUCGGUGCCGGGCGGCUGCUGGCGGCGUCUCCUGUCCCGUCUCGUCCGGUCCGGUCCCGGGGAUGUCCGGCGGGGGCAGCCGGCGGCGGGCCGGCCCCUCCUGGCACAGCACUUUCUCUCGCUUCUUCUCCAGGAGCUCACCCGGCGAGGGGGCGGCGAACAGGGAGGCAAAGAACAGCCAAGACUUUCUGUCUGAUGCUCUCCCUGAAAAAGCAUCCAUGUGUUUAUGAAUGCAU
RNAcentral lists this long non-coding RNA (1006 nucleotides) under Corvus moneduloides (New Caledonian crow). RNAcentral's name for it is "lncRNA (ENSCMUG00000018986.1)". Lineage: Eukaryota; Metazoa; Chordata; Aves; Passeriformes; Corvidae. The record is from RNAcentral.